RNAcentral lists this ribosomal RNA (253 nucleotides) under uncultured bacterium. RNAcentral describes it as "partial 16S ribosomal RNA". It matches the Rfam family "Bacterial small subunit ribosomal RNA", at positions 524 to 776 of the family's 1533-position model. The record is from RNAcentral.
UACGUAGGGUGCAAGCGUUAAUCGGGAUUACUGGGCGUAAAGCGUGCGCAGGCGGUUUUGUAAGUCUGUCGUGAAAGCCCCGGGCUUAACCUGGGAAUUGCGAUGGAGACUGCAAGGCUUGAAUCUGGCAGAGGGGGGUAGAAUUCCACGUGUAGCAGUGAAAUGCGUAGAGAUGUGGAGGAACACCGAUGGCGAAGGCAGCCCCCUGGGUCAAGAUUGACGCUCAUGCACGAAAGCGUGGGGAGCGAACAGG